This 460-nucleotide ribosomal RNA is filed under the name Haemophilus sp. oral taxon 036. Its description in RNAcentral is "bacterial SSU rRNA". It matches the Rfam family "Bacterial small subunit ribosomal RNA", at positions 30 to 477 of the family's 1533-position model. The record is from RNAcentral. Lineage: Bacteria; Pseudomonadati; Pseudomonadota; Gammaproteobacteria; Pasteurellales; Pasteurellaceae.
AUUGAACGCUGGCGGCAGGCUUAACACAUGCAAGUCGAACGGUAGCAGGAGAAAGCUUGCUUUCUUGCUGACGAGUGGCGGACGGGUGAGUAAUGCUUGGGAAUCUGGCUUAUGGAGGGGGAUAACUACGGGAAACUGUAGCUAAUACCGCGUAGUGUCGAGAGACGAAAGUGCGGGACCGCAAGGCCGCAUGCCAUGAGAUGAGCCCAAGUGGGAUUAGGUAGUUGGUGGGGUAAAGGCCUACCAAGCCUGCGAUCUCUAGCUGGUCUGAGAGGAUGGCCAGCCACACUGGAACUGAGACACGGUCCAGACUCCUACGGGAGGCAGCAGUGGGGAAUAUUGCGCAAUGGGGGGAACCCUGACGCAGCCAUGCCGCGUGAAUGAAGAAGGCCUUCGGGUUGUAAAGUUCUUUCGGUAUUGAGGAAGGAGUGUAUGUUAAUAGCAUGCAUUAUUGACGUAA